GCGGAUGUGGCGGAACUGGCAGACGCGCAGGCUUCAGGUGCCUGUGUCCCUAAAGGACGUGGAGGUUCGAAUCCUCUCAUCCGCA
Molecule: transfer RNA, 85 nt
Filed under: Planctomycetota bacterium
Lineage: Bacteria; Pseudomonadati; Planctomycetota
Rfam family: tRNA
About the family: Transfer RNA (tRNA) molecules are approximately 80 nucleotides in length.
Source: Rfam by way of RNAcentral